Molecule: ribosomal RNA, 439 nt
Filed under: Acanthamoeba sp.
Lineage: Eukaryota; Discosea; Longamoebia; Acanthamoebidae
Description: SSU rRNA
Rfam family: Eukaryotic small subunit ribosomal RNA
Source: RNAcentral
AAAUUAGAGUGUUCAAAGCAGGCAGAUCCAAUUUUCUGCCACCGAAUACAUUAGCAUGGGAUAAUGGAAUAGGACCCUGUCCUCCUAUUUUCAGUUGGUUUUGGCAGCGCGAGGACUAGGGUAAUGAUUAAUAGGGAUAGUUGGGGGCAUUAAUAUUUAAUUGUCAGAGGUGAAAUUCUUGGAUUUAUGAAAGAUUAACUUCUGCGAAAGCAUCUGCCAAGGAUGUUUUCAUUAAUCAAGAACGAAAGUUAGGGGAUCGAAGACGAUCAGAUACCGUCGUAGUCUUAACCAUAAACGAUGCCGACCAGCGAUUAGGAGACGUUGAAUACAAAACACCACCAUCGGCGCGGUCGUCCUUGGCGUCGGUCCUUCACGGGGCCGGCGCGAGGGCGGCUUAGCCCGGUGGCACCGGUGAAUGACUCCCCUAGCAGCUUGUGAG